CAGGACUAGAUAAGAGAAAUGUAUGAAUAGGGAGGCUGUGACUGGCCUCACACUCCAGUACAGUAAGUAGGUGGCGGUGGUGGUUGCGAUCAGCCAAUACAAAGUUAAAGAAGCAGAAGAAGAAGAGCACACUGCUCUCAAGCGUUUGUUGCAUGGAGCAGCUCACAGAAGAAUGACAUCGGGAGCCUGUAGGGUAAGGAAGAGGAAGUACACUGCACAGAAGAACCCCACAGCCAUACAGAUGCUGCCCAGGCUGUUGAACCAGAAAGCAAACAGCCGAGGUUGAAGAGCUGGAGCAGGAAGAUGCAGGAGGAACACAGUAGGCUCAGGAAGCCAGUCUCCAGUGUGUUAUUGAGGGUCCGUCUUGCCCAGUAUAAAGGCACAGACAAGCAUACAGCAUCCCCCCAGCAGCAGAAGGCCCGGCACAACGUAGGCUAGCGUGGUGGUCCAGAAGGCAAACAGACUUACCGCUGAUGAACCAGCAUAAGAGGAAGAGGGAGGCCAGGGUGCUCCAGGUGGUGCAGAGAUGGUUCAGGAGGUUGGGGGGCAUGUCUUCUGAGUCCUGGGCACAUGGUAGGCAGGAGAGCAGGGCUAGGGCCAGGACGGAGGCCCCCAUUACCACCAGGUAAAUGGGGAUGUAGUGCUGCCGGGGGCAGUCAUACAGGUACAUUGCACCUAUAAAGUAAUACAUAGUGGUAGGAGAGUUUGGGAUGGUCAGUUGCAGCAAGAGUAUUACUUCAGCUACUCACCUAUGGUGAUCUGAGCGAUAGGAAUGGCACAUGCAAGUAGUUUAGAGAUACCUGGGGGAGAGAGAAGAUAGAGGUUACGAUUUUUGCCCUAAACCCAAUCUACAUAUUUUAGCUACAUUUUCCCUAUGAUUUAAAGUGGUAAUCUGCAGUUACUACAUACAUUUUUGGACCUAUAAAUUAAUGAUAUGUACCCAUUGAUUAUUAAAUAAUAUAACUUAAAAAUGCCUCAUGAGCUUAGUUCAGCUGUUGUACUCAGAACCCAAAAUAUAAGCUUGUUUGAAUUUUACUCCAAUGUUUGUAUAUAAAGUAAAUGUAAA
Molecule: long non-coding RNA, 1066 nt
Filed under: Salmo salar (Atlantic salmon)
Lineage: Eukaryota; Metazoa; Chordata; Actinopteri; Salmoniformes; Salmonidae
Description: lncRNA (ENSSSAG00000082804.1)
Source: RNAcentral